Molecule: non-coding RNA, 110 nt
Organism: Caerostris extrusa
Lineage: Eukaryota; Metazoa; Arthropoda; Arachnida; Araneae; Araneidae
Source: the annotation of a GenBank genome assembly
UGCAUACCUUGUUGACUAUACAGGUUCUCAUUCAAAUCACCGAAGUCAAACAUCAUCGGGCGCUGUCAGCAUUUGGAAGGGUCACCACCUGGAAACACCGCGUGUCGUUG